RNAcentral lists this transfer RNA (74 nucleotides) under Herbidospora galbida. It matches the Rfam family "tRNA". From Rfam's summary of the family: Transfer RNA (tRNA) molecules are approximately 80 nucleotides in length. Their secondary structure includes four short double-helical elements and three loops (D, anti-codon, and T loops). Lineage: Bacteria; Bacillati; Actinomycetota; Actinomycetes; Streptosporangiales; Streptosporangiaceae. The record is from Rfam by way of RNAcentral. RNAcentral also lists the same sequence under 1 other name.
GCGCCCUUAGCUCAGCCGGAUAGAGCAGUGGACUUCUAAUCCACCGGUCGGGGGUUCGAAUCCCUCAGGGCGCG